Molecule: ribosomal RNA, 496 nt
Filed under: uncultured bacterium
Lineage: Bacteria
Description: bacterial SSU rRNA
Rfam family: Bacterial small subunit ribosomal RNA
Source: RNAcentral
AUUGAACGCUGGCGGAAUGCUUUACACAUGCAAGUCGAACGGUAGAGGGGGGCAACCCCUUGAGAGUGGCGAACGGGUGAGUAAUAUAUCGGAACGUGCCCAGUCGUGGGGAUAACGUAGCGAAAGUUACGCUAAUACCGCAUACGAUCUAAGGAUGAAAGCGGGGGAUCGCAAGACCUCGCGCGAUUGGAGCGGCCGAUAUCAGAUUAGGUAGUUGGUGAGGUAAAGGCUCACCAAGCCAACGAUCUGUAGCUGGUCUGAGAGGACGACCAGCCACACUGGAACUGAGACACGGUCCAGACUCCUACGGGAGGCAGCAGUGGGGAAUUUUGGACAAUGGACGCAAGUCUGAUCCAGCCAUUCCGCGUGCAGGAUGAAGGCCCUCGGGUUGUAAACUGCUUUUGUACGGAACGAAACGGUGAGCUCUAAUACAGUUUACUAAUGACGGUACCGUAAGAAUAAGCACCGGCUAACCUACGUAGCCAGCAGCCGCGGU